CCUACGGGAGGCAGCAGUAGGGAAUAUUGCUCAAUGGGGGAAACCCUGAAGCAGCAACGCCGCGUGGAGGAUUAAGGUUUUCGGAUUUUAAACUCCUUUUGUUAGGGAAGAUAAUGACGGUAUCUAACGAAUAAGCACCGGCUAACUCCGUGCCAGCAGCCGCGGUAAUACGGAGGGUGCAAGCGUUAGUCGGAAUCACUGGGCGUAAAGAGCGCGUAGGCGGGAUAGCAAGUCAGAUGUGAAAUGCUAUGGCUUAACCAUAGAACUGCAUUUGAAACUGUUAUGCUAGAGUAUGGGAGAGGUAGGUGGAAUUCUUGGUGUAGGGGUAAAAUGCGUAGAGAUCAAGAGGAAUACUCAUUGCGAAGGCGACCGGCUAGAACAUAACUGACGCUGAUGCGCGAAAGCGUGGGGAGCAAACAGGAUUAGAUACCCGGGUAGUC
RNAcentral lists this ribosomal RNA (440 nucleotides) under uncultured bacterium. Its description in RNAcentral is "partial 16S ribosomal RNA". It matches the Rfam family "Bacterial small subunit ribosomal RNA", at positions 338 to 795 of the family's 1533-position model. The record is from RNAcentral.